RNAcentral lists this ribosomal RNA (471 nucleotides) under uncultured organism. Its description in RNAcentral is "partial 16S ribosomal RNA". It matches the Rfam family "Bacterial small subunit ribosomal RNA", at positions 335 to 797 of the family's 1533-position model. The record is from RNAcentral.
ACUCCUGCGGGAGGCAGCAGUGGGGAAUUUUGGACAAUGGGCGAAAGCCUGAUCCAGCAAUGCCGCGUGAGUGAAGAAGGCCUUCGGGUUGUAAAGCUCUUUUGUCAGGGAAGAAACGGUGAAAGCUAAUAUCUUUUGCUAAUGACGGUACCUGAAGAAUAAGCACCGGCUAACUACGUGCCAGCAGCCGCGGUAAUACGUAGGGUGCAAGCGUUAAUCGGAAUUACUGGGCGUAAAGCGUGCGCAGGCGGUUUUGUAAGUCUGAUGUGAAAUCCCCGGGCUCAACCUGGGAAUUGCAUUGGAGACUGCAAGGCUAGAAUCUGGCAGGGGGGGGUAGAAUUCCACGUGUAGCAGUGAAAUGCGUAGAUAUGUGGAGGAACACCGAUGGCGAAGGCAGCCCCCUGGGUCAAGAUUGACGCUCAUGCACGAAAGCGUGGGGAGCAAACAGGAUUAGAUACCCCUGUAGUCCCA